AAGUCGUAACAAGGUUUCCGUAGGUGAACCUGCGGAAGGAUCAUUCAUGUGAUUUUAACACCCAACUUUAUGCAAACUAUUAGUAGCUAAAGUGCUAAAGGUUCUGUGUUUUUCUUUUGUUGGCUGCGUUUUCUUUUACCUCAUACUAUUUUCAAAGCACUAUAAACAGGGGUAUUUUUACCCAGAAAAUAGUUAAAGAAAUGAUAAAUGCUACCUUUAAUUUACACUAAAAUUCACUCUAAAUCAUACCAUAAAACAUGUAAACUAUUACAACUUUUAACGAUGGAUCCCUCGGCUCUUA
RNAcentral lists this unclassified non-coding RNA (301 nucleotides) under fungal sp. Its description in RNAcentral is "partial internal transcribed spacer region". The stretch from base 1 to 46 matches the Rfam family "Eukaryotic small subunit ribosomal RNA", at positions 1786 to 1831 of the family's 1831-position model. The record is from RNAcentral. Lineage: Eukaryota; Fungi.